CCUACGGGGGGCAGCAGUGGGGAAUAUUGGACAAUGGGGGGAACCCUGAUCCAGCGACGCCGCGUGAGUGAAGAAGUAUUUCGGUAUGUAAAGCUCUAUCAGCAGGGAAGAAAGAAAUGACGGUACCUGACUAAGAAGCCUCGGCUAACUACGUGCCAGCAGCCGCGGUAAUACGUAGGGGGCAAGCGUUAUCCGGAUUUACUGGGUGUAAAGGGAGCGUAGACGGCGAUGCAAGUCUGAAGUGAAAGGCGGGGGCGCAACCCCUGGACUGCUUUGGAAACUGGAUGGCUGGAGUGCAGGAGAGGUAAGUGGAAUUCGUAGUGUAGCGGUGAAAUGCGUAGAUAUUAGGAGGAACACCAGUGGCGAAGGCGGCUUACUGGACUGUAACUGACGUUGAGGCUCGAAAGCGUGGGGAGCAAACAGGAUUAGAUACCCGAGUAGUC
This 443-nucleotide ribosomal RNA is filed under the name uncultured bacterium. Its description in RNAcentral is "partial 16S ribosomal RNA". It matches the Rfam family "Bacterial small subunit ribosomal RNA", at positions 338 to 795 of the family's 1533-position model. The record is from RNAcentral.